GUUUCAUUUCAGAUGUUGAACAACAUUCUUUCUUGCUCAAGGAUAAUAUUAUGCGACCUUUUGUACUGGAAGGGUAAGGUGACGUAAGAUUUGAUAAAUAUUAUGAUUUCGGUGUCUGCCUCGGUGUUCUCCAACGUUUUAAUUCCCUGGCUACCAUUGCAGAUUUCAAAUCCACCUUUCAAAAGUUGCUGAAUCUGAUUUACUUUAAGUCCACAAUGUGUCCUUGUAUGUAGCUGAAUUGCCCUCUGUAAGAUGGAAGGCCAGUAGCUUAACCACAGUUCCUUUUAAUACUUCCUUUAACAAGGCUUAGAAGCCAAUAACCCACAUUUACUUUCAGUUUGAAAGCCUCAGAAAAUGGCAGGAAAGUCAGGAAUCAAAAUAUAGAAGAUAAAACUCAUCAAACAGUGACAAAUCAUAAUGCUGUUCUAAGACCUGCUUUCCCACAAGAAGCUCUUUGUUUGUUGCUCAGGUCAAUGUUUAGUGGUUUCUGAACUUUAAGGAGAGUCCAUCAUGCUACAGCAGAGGGGUGGAUUUAAAAGAAUGGCGUAAGAUGAACCUUGUGUUUCUUGUCGUGGUGGGAGGGAAGGAGAAGUUCAGAAGAAUGUCUCACUGGUCAGCUAGUGAUUAAUCCCACAUGACUUGUUUGCUUCCUGGUCUUUUCUCCUGUCAGAUUCCAGGUAUCUUCUGGUGAUUGGGAUGAGGAAGUGUGAAGGCAGCGGGCUAAGCCUUUCCUCAGCUGAGCAAACACACACACAGACCCCCAGAGGAUGUUCAAGCCGUUUUUUGCCUCCAGCAACAAUCUGACCAGUACGGAGUCCCUUCUCAUACUGACUUAUCUACGUGUUGUCUGGGGCCUCUGUUCCUGGACUCUCCGGGUGCCUUACCUGACUGCUCCCCAUUCAGAAGCAGAAAGCACCCCCUUUGACACAUUUCUUCUUUCCUUUUCUGCUUCCUCCUCUCAAUCCCUUGGCCUUGUGGCCAGUUCUCUUCCUCUGAAGUUUCUUUAUCCUCCUGUGUCACAGCCUCUGGCACGGGUGGCCAUUUUCUGUUAUGAGCUUGACAGGGACAAGUGGAAGCCCAGGCGCUAAGCGUGUAAUGGAACAGGAAAGAGCAGACUCUCCAAAGGAAAUCAGUAUGAGUUUUUUUUUUUCUAGCUUACGUUCUUACCUUAUGCUGAAAGAGUGCCUGGCUCCUGCUCAGAUGAGUUCCAUACAAAACUUUCCAUGCUAUUACUUUAUUAUUGGGCUUUCCGGGCUCCAGGAACAGAAGGAACAGGGGAAAAAAAUUUACUUGUAACAUACUUGUAUAGCACUUGACAAAUUUCCAAGUUCCUCCCUCAGUGUAGUAGAUACCUAAGAAGUAUUUGUUGAACUGAAUGUAAAACUGCUUACAUGUGCUUCCUCGUGUAUCGCUAUCGGAAACACUUGUGACAUAGGCAGGACUGCUCAUGAAUCUUCUCUUUAUAGACUCAGACUGUUGUGUCCCCAAGGUGACAAAGCUGGAGAGUGGCAGAGCUGAAACUGGAACUCUGAUAUUUUUUUUUUAAACUCUGUUCAGUGUUCUUUCCGAUUUUUGUGACUUAUCAUCCACCCACAGACUUAUUUGUGAUGAGUUCCUCUUGCUCCGGGAGGCUGGCAUGGAGAUGUUAUGUACCUGAUUUCAGGAUAAAUAUUUCCAAGUUUAAGAUAUCAUCCUCUCAGUAACGGAACUUCAAGCAAAACCCGCUCUGGAAGAUAUACAUGAUAAAAGCACCCUGUCAACCACGGACACAUCCCACAGCCAUUUCCCCCUUGUGACAGCUCAUAAAAUGCUGCAUAAUAGUUCCUGUGUGAGUAUGAGAAAAUACUGAAACAACGUCAAGAGAAUCAAGCAAAAGGCAACUGGUCCCCUGGAUCCGUCUUCAUUGGGUCCCACUGGACAACUUUUUUUGCCGGAUGAACGGUAGAGGCUGGUAAUACCACAGACAACAUUCCAGGAUAGCAAAAAUUUAAGAUGUUACCUGAAGGAAUUUCCGGAGCCCUACUCUAAACCCAAUCCUGAAGAUGUCACAGAAGGGAGAAAGAAAAUGGUGGAUCUAAGAAAAUAUUGGAAAAACUGAAAAGUCCCUGGAGAGACAGAAGUUGGCUCCGUUCUGAGUCCUAGCUGAAGCAACGACCAACUAGAAAAUGCAUUAGAAAUCCAGGCAUCAUCCAGAAGAGCAUUAAAAAACCUAAGGAAGACAUUGGAGAAUUCGUAUGCUAUUUUAGCUGGCUCUGUGAUUGCAAUCACACAAAUCACUCCAUUCCAGAGAGAUUUCACGAACAGGAGGUUUUUCCAUUUCAGCCUUUCAAGUAGGAAAAAAGGAGGAAGAAGAAGAGGAAGAAGAGUUGAAGGAGAAGGAAGAAAAGGAAAAAAAUGGGAAGAUAUUGAGCACCCCUAUGAGGAUGCAAGUUCCAGGAAGACAAGAAUUAUUGUCUAUUUUGUCCACUGUUAUAUCCUCAGUGCCAGAAGAGAUAAUAAACAGGAUCAGAGAGGUCAUCACAGAUGAUGUCACGUAUCCAAGUCUGGAAGACUGAAGAACAUUUCAGCAUGCAGACAAAGGUAGAAAGAACACAGGUAAAGCAGAGGCCUGACAGUAUUGAGCAUGAGUCUGAAGGGACAAGAGUUGAAGUGGUCUGAAGGAGUGAAUAUAAAGAGGUUCCCAAUGGGAGCCACAUCAUUGCCAAGAAAGGGAUCUAUCCUGGCCUGAUAGAACAGGAAGCGUGAGCCGAAUGAGGCCACAGCAAAGAUGUAGCAGGUGAGGACAGUGUGGGUGUAGAAUGUCUGUGAAUCACAUUCCUGGGCAAGAUCAACGGGAAGGAUGUGGUAAUAAUAUGGAGGCGACUGUGUUAGAACUAGCUGUCCCCAAGGCUCUAGGUGGAACUGUGGAGUGAAAGGCUCAUUUAGACCGGCUCAAAAUGUCCCUUUUCAGCAAUCCAGCCUACAAGUCUGAAUCGCAAAACUUUCGAUCUAGCGGUAGGAUUACUUUGAAAUUGCCUCACUAGAGUGGGGGGCCUGGUCUUGGGUGACAGGGAUGGUGGGGAGCAGCCUUGGCUUGGUAGUAUGACUGGAGAAUACACCUCCAAGUGGUACUAAUGAAAGGUUUAAAAUCUUCCAGGCCAAUGUGUUAUCCCAAGAGAUCAAUGAAAGCCCUGGUGCAAAACA
Molecule: long non-coding RNA, 3183 nt
Organism: Felis catus (domestic cat)
Lineage: Eukaryota; Metazoa; Chordata; Mammalia; Carnivora; Felidae
Exons: 9
Source: RefSeq, a predicted model, not a curated record